GCGCGAAAACUUUACAAUGCUGGCAACAGCGAUAAGGGAACCUCGAGUGCCAGGUUACAAAUCUGGCUGUCGAGAUGCCUAAAAAGCAUUUCAUAGCAAGGGCCGGGCAAGACCGGUGCCAGCCGCCGCGGUAACACCGGCGGCUCGAGUGGUAACCGUUAUUAUUGGGUCUAAAGGGUCUGUAGCCGGCCGGAUAAGUCUCUUGAGAAAUCUGGCAGCUUAACUGUCAGGCUUUCAGGAGAUACUGUCUGGCUCGAGGCCGGGAGAGGUGAGAGGUACUUCAGGGGUAGGGGUGAAAUCUUGUAAUCUGUGAAGGACCACCAGUGGCGAAGGCGUCUCACCAGAACGGACCUGACGGCAAGGGACGAAAGCUAGGGGCACGAACC
This 386-nucleotide ribosomal RNA is filed under the name uncultured prokaryote. RNAcentral's name for it is "bacterial SSU rRNA". It matches the Rfam family "Archaeal small subunit ribosomal RNA", at positions 339 to 725 of the family's 1478-position model. The record is from RNAcentral.